GUCCACGCUGUAAACGUUGGGCACUAGGUGUGGGAGGUAUUGACCCCUUCCGUGCCGCAGCUAACGCGAUAAGUGCCCCGCCUGGGGAGUACGGCCGCAAGGCUAAAACUCAAAGGAAUUGACGGGGGCCCGCACAAGCAGCGGAGCGUGUGGUUUAAUUCGAUGCUACGCGAAGAACCUUACCAGGGCUUGACAUGCUGGUGGUACCGAUCCGAAAGGAGAGGGACCCUUCGGGGAGCCAGCACAGGUGUUGCAUGGCUGUCGU
This 265-nucleotide ribosomal RNA is filed under the name uncultured bacterium. RNAcentral's name for it is "partial 16S ribosomal RNA". It matches the Rfam family "Bacterial small subunit ribosomal RNA", at positions 793 to 1055 of the family's 1533-position model. The record is from RNAcentral.